This 1105-nucleotide long non-coding RNA is filed under the name Takifugu rubripes (torafugu). RNAcentral describes it as "lncRNA (ENSTRUG00000031768.1)". Lineage: Eukaryota; Metazoa; Chordata; Actinopteri; Tetraodontiformes; Tetraodontidae. The record is from RNAcentral.
GUCGUUAAAUAUUUCACGAGAGAUAUUCAGAGCUUCCCCUUCCUCUUGUCAGGUUAAUGAAAUUCAGACUAUCAGCCCAUUGAAACUGGGAGAGGGAUGAUCAUGAUUUACAGCAGAACCCGUCUGCUCAUGUCAUCUCAGAGACGACUUUACAUGGACUUCUCAGGAAAAGGCAGAGCGAGGCUGAUAAGAAAGAGUUUGAACCCUUCCGCUGAUUCAUUUUCCAUCCUUUUGCACUUUCUGCUGUCAAAAACGCACAAACGCAAGUCUCAACAACAGGCUUUCCAUCACCACCUCGACACACCGGAGUAAAAACAACAGAGCAAAGAAGAGCUGGAUGCACCUACUGACCUGAGACCAACAGCACGCUCUCUCUGUCUCUUUCCACAGGCCAUCGGGCUUGUUUGUCCAGUCCGAUUUAUUGCUCAUUUGCACCUGCUGAUACUUGAACGAUGAUACCCUCCACUUUAUCUUCACUGGAUUAAAACAGGAGACAGACGCUUCAUCUUACUCUGGUAAUCCAUCACCAGAGAAAAUGGGCUUCCGGUGACUUCUAUUGCAUCCUGUUGUGAAGCUGUCGAUUCUCAGUGUUCUGUUUUCAUGCUGUUUCUAAUGCACAAAGGGGGGCACAAAAAGUCCAGUCUCAUUUGGCAGCUGGCAGUGACUUAUUCCACCUCAGAGCCAAAUCCAGGAAAGGUUUAUAAGUAGGCUCGACAGAAGGUUAGCCUGUGGUGACUUAGACCACUGGGACAUCUUGCAUUCAGCAAUAGAAUAAUACAGAAUGGCUUCUGAACCUCAAUAAACAUUUUGGUUUUUGCUCCCUGCGAAGAUUUGUCCAAUUUCAUCUUCGCCAGAGGCCAGUAGGUGACCUGACAAAAACAGAAAUACAUUUUCACCAUUUUAGCCUGGUCUCAUGGGCAGAUACAAGGGGCCCUCUCUCACACCUUACACAAAUAUUUCGACCAUGCCUGCAAGCUAAUCCUCUCUGCCGGCUGCCCUCAGAUCAGAGUUCAGAGUAGGGAAGACAGCAAAAUCAUUUGGUUCAGUGCAGCUAGUACAAGGGGAAAAAGACUCUUUUUCCUACCACUUCCUGCUAAACAUUUUC